Molecule: non-coding RNA, 420 nt
Organism: Pelobates cultripes (western spadefoot toad)
Lineage: Eukaryota; Metazoa; Chordata; Amphibia; Anura; Pelobatidae
Source: the annotation of a GenBank genome assembly
CUCCUUUACAUCUUUCCUGAGUGAAUCCCACCAAAAUGAUCUAGUGAUCGCGGCAGUGGACUUAUUGAUGCCCGGGUGUCCAGCAGUUAUAUUGUCAUGGAACACUUUCAUGAUAUUAACCCUUUCACAUAGGGGAACGAACAGUUUAUCACACGGUUUACCACUGGGCGCCUGAGGCUGGGCCUCCAGUAUGGUGCCAAGCAUUGGAGAAGACAGUGAGAGGACAGUAGUAGCAAUAAUACACUCUGCUGGAAUAAUAGGAGAUGUCAUCUGUUCCGGAGCUGACUCAUUAUCAAAUUGCCUGGACAAGGCAUCAGCCUUGGUAUUUUUAGAACCAGGUCUAUAAGUAAUGAGAAAGUUAAAACGUGAAAGGAACAGUGACCAUCUAGCCUGUCUGGAAGACAAACGUUUGGCAUCCCC